Molecule: ribosomal RNA, 253 nt
Filed under: uncultured bacterium
Lineage: Bacteria
Description: partial 16S ribosomal RNA
Rfam family: Bacterial small subunit ribosomal RNA
Source: RNAcentral
UACGGAGGGUGCAAGCGUUAUCCGGAAUCACUGGGUUUAAAGGGUGCGUAGGCGGCUCUAUAAGUCUGUAUUGAAAGCAUCCGGCUUAACCGGGUAACUGGUAUGGAUACUGUAGGGCUUGAAUAAGGAUGAGGCUGGCGGAAUGUGACAUGUAGCGGUGAAAUGCAUAGAUAUGUCAUAGAACACCAAUUGCGAAGGCAGCUGGCUAGGCCUUUAUUGACGCUGAGGCACGAAAGCGUGGGGAGCGAACAGG